This 492-nucleotide ribosomal RNA is filed under the name uncultured bacterium. Its description in RNAcentral is "partial 16S ribosomal RNA". It matches the Rfam family "Bacterial small subunit ribosomal RNA", at positions 29 to 507 of the family's 1533-position model. The record is from RNAcentral.
AGUGAACGCUGGCGGUAUGCCUAACACAUGCAAGUCGAACGACAGCACAGUAAGCGCUUGCCCUUACGGGUGGCGACUGGCGGACGGGUGACGAAUACAUCGGAAUCUACUUUUUCGUGGGGGAUAACGUAGGGAAACUUACGCUACUACCGCAUACGUCCUACCGGUGAAAUCAGUGGAGCUUCGUACCUUGCCUGUCUGUAUUAGCUGAUGUCGGAUUAGCUAGUUGGCGUGGUAAAGGCCCACCAAGGCAACGAUCCGUAGCUGAUCUGAGAGGAUGAUCGGCCACACUGGAACUGAGACACGGUCCAGACUCCUACGGGAGGCAGCAGUGGGGAAUAUUCGGCAAUGGGCGAAAGCCUGACGCAGCAAUACCGCGUGAGUGAAGAAGGCCUUCGGGUCGUAAAGCCCUUUUGUUAGGAAAGAAAAGCAGUAGGUUAAAACGUGGCUGUUCUGACGGUACCCAAAGAAUAAGCACCGGCUAACUUCGUG